This is a long non-coding RNA of Cydia strobilella, 588 nucleotides long. RefSeq lists it as uncharacterized. The transcript is spliced from 3 exons. Lineage: Eukaryota; Metazoa; Arthropoda; Insecta; Lepidoptera; Tortricidae. The record is from RefSeq and is a predicted model, not a curated record.
CGACCACUGGCGCGGCUAGCGCCCCGACCACUCCCGCUGCGCCCACCACGAAAAGGCCACCCGUACUACAGCAACUUGCCCAGAGUGUUAUCGAUAUACCCUUGGGGGUGGCGAAAGCGUGUAAAGACGGAGCAGAAGCUUUUGAAUCAUUCUUGGACAUCUUUGGAUAAAUCAAGAUUCUAAUCACUAAACAAAAAAAAUGGUUGUCUGUAAAUUCGGUUUACGGGCGAUAAUUUUGCGUGAUAACGUCAUAAGAAAACAUUGAUGAAAAGGCCGUAAUGUUACCAUGGAGAUCUGUCCACAACGUUACCAUGGAGAUCUGUCCACAACGUUACCAUGGAGAUCUGUCCACAACUUUACCAUGGAGAUCUGUCCACAACUUUACCAUGGAGAUCUGUCCACAACGUUACCAUGGAGAUUUGUCCACAACGUGACACUUUUUCGUGCAUUCUACCGGUGUUCAUCGAUUUAUUUAUAAUAAGACGUUAUCACGUCAAUACAUAACUGUUACAUGUUUGCGUUUUAUUUUAUUAUGUCUUUAUUAAUAAUAUGGUGUACCGCCUUUGCACUUGUUUUAAGCAAAUACAU